GCAGGGUGGCCACCCAGUAAUCAGCACAAGUUAGAAUGUGGGCAACUCGGCAGUCGUUGCGCAGGCACUUUGGUGACUCUAGAUAACCUCGGGCCGAUUGCACGUCCCCGUGACGGCGACGACGCAUUCGGAUGUCUGCCCUAUCAACUUUCGAUGUUACUUUCUGUGCCUACCAUGGUGACCACGGGUAACAGGGAAUCAGGGUUCAAUUCCGGAGAGGGAGCCUGAGAAAUGGCUACCACAUCCAAGGAACGCAGCAGGCGCGCAAAUUACCCACUCCCGACGCGGGGAGGUAGUGAC
Non-coding RNA from Pelobates cultripes (western spadefoot toad), 300 nucleotides. The record is from the annotation of a GenBank genome assembly. NCBI's taxonomy places the organism in Eukaryota, Metazoa, Chordata, Amphibia, Anura, Pelobatidae.